RNAcentral lists this ribosomal RNA (455 nucleotides) under uncultured Anaerolineaceae bacterium. RNAcentral's name for it is "bacterial SSU rRNA". It matches the Rfam family "Bacterial small subunit ribosomal RNA", at positions 915 to 1382 of the family's 1533-position model. The record is from RNAcentral. Lineage: Bacteria; Bacillati; Chloroflexota; Anaerolineae; Anaerolineales; Anaerolineaceae.
CGGGGAACCCGCACAAGCGGUGGAUGAUGUGGAUUAAUUCGAUGCAACGCGAAAACCUUACCUACCCUUGACAUGUCCGGAAUCCUGCAGAGAUGCGGGAGUGCCCGAAAGGGAAUCGGAACACAGGUGCUGCAUGGCUGUCGUCAGCUCGUGUCGUGAGAUGUUCGGUUAAGUCCGCUAACGAGCGCAACCCUCGUCGUAUGUUAUAUGUGUCAUACGAGACUGCCGGUAAAAGCCGGAGGAAGGUGAGGAUGAUGUCAAGUCAGCAUGACCUUUAUAUCCAGGGCUACACACACGCUACAAUGGUCUGUACAAUGGGUAGCCAAGCCGCGAGGCGGAGCCAAUCCUGAAAGCAGGCCUCAGUUCAGAUUGCAGUCUGCAACUCGACUGCAUGAAGCCGGAGUUGCUAGUAACCGCAGGUCAGCAAUACUGCGGUGAAUACGUUCCCGGGUCUU